ACAAUGGAGAGUUUGAUCCUGGCUCAGGAUGAACGCUAGCGGCAGGCCUAACACAUGCAAGUCGAGGGGC
This 70-nucleotide ribosomal RNA is filed under the name Alistipes onderdonkii. RNAcentral describes it as "partial 16S ribosomal RNA". It matches the Rfam family "Bacterial small subunit ribosomal RNA", at positions 1 to 70 of the family's 1533-position model. The record is from RNAcentral. RNAcentral also lists the same sequence under 3 other names. Lineage: Bacteria; Pseudomonadati; Bacteroidota; Bacteroidia; Bacteroidales; Rikenellaceae.